RNAcentral lists this transfer RNA (77 nucleotides) under Cyphobasidiales sp. Tagirdzhanova-0007. Its description in RNAcentral is "tRNA-Leu". The record is from RNAcentral. Lineage: Eukaryota; Fungi; Basidiomycota; Cystobasidiomycetes; Cyphobasidiales.
GGCAAACAGGAGUGGUCUAAGGCGCUGGUCUAAGGAACCAGUCCGAAAGGGCGUGGGUUCGAGUCCCACUGUCAUCA